Molecule: long non-coding RNA, 303 nt
Filed under: Elaeis guineensis (African oil palm)
Lineage: Eukaryota; Viridiplantae; Streptophyta; Magnoliopsida; Arecales; Arecaceae
Description: long non-coding RNA (EGUI_LNC011060)
Source: RNAcentral
UCACCGUUCAAAACUAUAACCAAAUAAAAGAACUUCAACAAAGGAAAGAACAGGGAAAAAAAGGCAUCAGCUCUACUCUUCCCAAAUGUUCUUCACCGGUUGCGGUUCCACAUGCUUUAAUGUUUAACUUUUAUAGUUGGGAUGCUUUCCGCUUUGUCUUCAUAGUGGUGAUCAUCCAUUGUUCCUGUAUCAGGCAACAAGGGACAACUGGGUGGGAUAUGACAUCCAUGUCCCCGCCUCACCCAAUCACUCAUCGUGAAAUGGUAUAGAAAAUUAGGUGAUUGCAAAGAGAAUAUCUUAGUU